AUUCCAGCUCCAAUAGCGUAUAUUUAAGUUGUUGCAGUUAAAAAGCUCGUAGUUGGACCUUGGGACGUCACGGUCGGUCCGCCUUCUUGGUGUGCACUGGCCCUCACGUCCCUUCUGCCGGCGGCGUGUUCCUGGCCUUAAUUGGCUGGGUCGCGGUUCCGGCGCCGUUACUUUGAAAAAAUUAGAGUGCUCAAAGCAAGCCUACGCUCUGAAUACAUUAGCAUGGAAUAACGCGAUAGGAGUCUGGUCCUGUUCCGUUGGCCUUCGGGACCGGAGUAAUGAUUAAUAGGGACUGUCGGGGGCAUUCGUAUUUCAUUGUCAGAGGUGAAAUUCUUGGAUUUAUGGAAGACGAACCACUGCGAAAGCAUUUGCCAAGGAUGUUUUCAUUA
This 389-nucleotide ribosomal RNA is filed under the name Embryophyta sp. RNAcentral describes it as "partial small subunit ribosomal RNA". It matches the Rfam family "Eukaryotic small subunit ribosomal RNA", at positions 582 to 975 of the family's 1831-position model. Lineage: Eukaryota; Viridiplantae; Streptophyta. The record is from RNAcentral.